This 295-nucleotide ribosomal RNA is filed under the name Subeucalanus crassus. Its description in RNAcentral is "partial 16S ribosomal RNA". The record is from RNAcentral. Lineage: Eukaryota; Metazoa; Arthropoda; Copepoda; Calanoida; Eucalanidae.
AAAUAGCUCCUUAAUUGGGAGAUGGAAUGAACGGUAGUACUGACUAUAUUAUGAAGAAUUAUUUGUGAAUUUUUAGUCUCAAUGAAAAUAUUAAGAUGCUAUUUUUAGACAAAAAGACCCUAUGAAGCUUUAUAACUUGCAACACUUCUACAUGUCCCAAGGUUAUUUUUUUGGGGUAAAAGGUAAUAAUGGUAUUACAGCAUUUAAGUGAUAAACAUCCACAGGUGAAUUAAUAGUAAGCUCCUCUAGGGAUAACAGCAUAAUCUUAGCCGAGAGAUCCUAUUGAAGCUAGGGG